RNAcentral lists this ribosomal RNA (335 nucleotides) under uncultured bacterium. RNAcentral's name for it is "bacterial SSU rRNA". It matches the Rfam family "Bacterial small subunit ribosomal RNA", at positions 145 to 496 of the family's 1533-position model. The record is from RNAcentral.
AACAGUUGGAAACGACUGCUAAUACCGCAUAAGCCCACGGGUCGGCAUCGACCAGAGGGAAAAGGAGUGAUCCGCUUUGAGAUGGCCUCGCGUCCGAUUAGCUAGUUGGUGAGGUAACGGCCCACCAAGGCGACGAUCGGUAGCCGGACUGAGAGGUUGAACGGCCGCAUUGGGACUGAGACACGGCCCAGACUCCUACGGGAGGCAGCAGUGGGGAAUAUUGCACAAUGGGGGAAACCCUGAUGCAGCGACGCCGCGUGGGGGAAGAAGGUCUUCGGAUUGUAAACUCCUGUUGUUGGGGAAGAUAAUGACGGUACCCAACAAGGAAGUGACGG